GAUGAACGCUGGCGGUGCGCCUAACACAUGCAAGUCGAACGGCACCCCUCCUCGGAGGGAAGCGAGUGGCGAACGGCUGAGUAACACGUGGAGGACCUGCCCCCUCCCCCGGGAUAGCCGCCCGAAAGGACGGGUAAUACCGGAUACCCCGGGGUGCCGCAUGGCACCCCGGCUAAAGCCCCGACGGGAGGGGAUGGCUCCGCGGCCCAUCAGGUAGACGGCGGGGUGACGGCCCACCGUGCCGACAACGGGUAGCCGGGUUGAGAGACCGACCGGCCAGAUUGGGACUGAGACACGGCCCAGACUCCUACGGGAGGCAGCAGUGGGGAAUCUUGCGCAAUGGGGGGAACCCUGACGCAGCGACGCCGCGUGCGGGACGGAGGCCUUCGGGUCGUAAACCGCUUUCAGCAGGGAAGAGUCAAGACUGUACCUGCAGAAGAAGCCCCGGCUAACUACGUG
This 459-nucleotide ribosomal RNA is filed under the name uncultured bacterium. RNAcentral's name for it is "partial 16S ribosomal RNA". It matches the Rfam family "Bacterial small subunit ribosomal RNA", at positions 28 to 507 of the family's 1533-position model. The record is from RNAcentral.